UGGGGAAUUUUGGACAAUGGGCGAAAGCCUGAUCCAGCAAUGCCGCGUGUGUGAAGAAGGCCUUCGGGUUGUAAAGCACUUUUGUCCGGAAAGAAAUCCUUGGCUCUAAUACAGUCGGGGGAUGACGGUACCGGAAGAAUAAGCACCGGCUAACUACGUGCCAGCAGCCGCGGUAAUACGUAGGGUGCAAGCGUUAAUCGGAAUUACUGGGCGUAAAGCGUGCGCAGGCGGUUUGCUAAGACCGAUGUGAAAUCCCCGGGCUCAACCUGGGAACUGCAUUGGUGACUGGCAGGCUAGAGUAUGGCAGAGGGGGGUAGAAUUCCACGUGUAGCAGUGAAAUGCGUAGAGAUGUGGAGGAAUACCGAUGGCGAAGGCAGCCCCCUGGGCCAAUACUGGCGCUCAUGCACGAAAGCGUGGGGAGCAAACAGGAUUCAGAUACCCUGGUAGUCCACGCCCUAAACGAUGUCAACUAGUUGUUGGGGAUUCAUUUCCUUAGUAACGUAGCUAACGCGUGAAGUUGACCGCCUGGGGAGUACGGUCG
RNAcentral lists this ribosomal RNA (541 nucleotides) under uncultured bacterium. Its description in RNAcentral is "partial 16S ribosomal RNA". It matches the Rfam family "Bacterial small subunit ribosomal RNA", at positions 355 to 888 of the family's 1533-position model. The record is from RNAcentral.